This 253-nucleotide ribosomal RNA is filed under the name uncultured bacterium. Its description in RNAcentral is "partial 16S ribosomal RNA". It matches the Rfam family "Bacterial small subunit ribosomal RNA", at positions 524 to 776 of the family's 1533-position model. The record is from RNAcentral.
UACGUAGGGUGCGAGCGUUAAUCGGAAUUACUGGGCGUAAAGCGUGCGCAGGCGGCUUUGCAAGACAGAUGUGAAAUCCCCGGGCUCAACCUGGGAAUUGCGUUGGAGACUGCAAGGCUUGAAUCUGGCAGAGGGGGGUAGAAUUCCAAGUGUAGCGGUGAAAUGCGUAGAGAUUUGGAGGAAUACCAGUGGCGAAGGCAAUCCCCUGGGCCUGUACUGACGCUCAUGCACGAAAGCGUGGGGAGCAAACAGG